CCCCUCUUCGGAGCAUGUAUACAGGUGGUGCAUGGUUGUCGUCAGCUCGUGUCGUGAGAUGUUGGGUUAAGUCCCGCAACGAGCGCAACCCCUGUUCUUAGUUGCCAGCACGUUAAGGUGGGAACUCUAAGAAGACUGCCGGUGAUAAAUCGGAGGAAGGUGGGGACGACGUCAAAUCAUCAUGCCUUUUAUGUCCUGGGCUACACACGUACUACAAUGGCUAUAACAAAGGGAAGCGAGACCGCGAGGUGGAGCAAAACCCAAAAAAGUAGUCUCAGUUCGGAUUGGAGGCUGAAAUUCGCCUCCAUGAAGCCGGAAUUGCUAGUAAUGGCAGGUCAGCAUACUGCCGUGAAUACGUUCCCGGGCCUUGUACACACCGCCCGUCACACCAUGAGAGUUGGGAAUACCCGAAGCCUGUGAGCUAACUUUUUAAGAGGCAGCAGUCGAAGGUAGAAUCAAUGAUUGGGGUGAAGUCGUAACAAGGUAGCCGUAUCGGAAGGUGCGGCUG
RNAcentral lists this ribosomal RNA (508 nucleotides) under uncultured bacterium. RNAcentral's name for it is "bacterial SSU rRNA". It matches the Rfam family "Bacterial small subunit ribosomal RNA", at positions 1014 to 1520 of the family's 1533-position model. The record is from RNAcentral.